AUGGGGACGCAGGCCUCGCCGGACAACUACACGCCGCCCAAGGAUGAGAGGACUGCUCGGGAGAAGGCGAUCGAUGACUGGCUUCCUAUCACGUCGUCGAGGAAAGCAAAGUGGUGGUACUCGGCCUUCCACAAUGUCACCGCCAUGGUUGGCGCUGGGGUGCUCAGCCUCCCCUACGCCAUGUCUGAACUUGGUUGGGGUCCUGGCAUCGCGGUGAUGACCUUGUCGUGGAUCAUCACGGUGUACACGCUGUGGCAGAUGGUGGAGAUGCAUGAGAUAGUCCCCGGGAAGCGUUUCGACCGGUACCAUGAGCUCGGGCAGCACGCCUUCGGCGAUAAGCUCGGCCUCUGGAUCGUGGUGCCACAGCAGCUUGUCGUCGAGGUCAGCCUGAACAUUGUGUACAUGGUUACCGGCGGCAACUCGCUCAAGAAGUUCCACGACGUGAUCUGUGACGGCAAGUGCAAGGACAUCAAGCUCACUUACUUCAUCAUGAUCUUCGCCUCUGUCCACUUCGUCCUCUCCCAGCUGCCAAACUUCAACUCCAUCUCGGGCAUCUCCCUCGCCGCAGCCGUCAUGUCACUCAGCUACUCAACAAUUGCUUGGGGCGCCUCGUUGGACAAGGGGAGGGCGGAGAACGUGGACUACAGCCUGCGGGCAUCGACGACAGCAGGGCAGGUGUUCGGUUUCUUGGGUGGGCUCGGCGACGUGGCUUUCUCCUACUCCGGCCACAAUGUGGUGCUAGAAAUCCAGGCUACCAUCCCAUCGACGCCGGGCAACCCGUCCAAGAAGCCAAUGUGGAAGGGCGUGGUGGUCGCCUACAUCAUCAUCGCCGCCUGCUACAUGCCGGUGGCAUUUAUCGGCUACUGGGCCUUCGGCAACAGCGUCGACGACAACAUCCUCAUCACCCUCAACAAGCCCAAGUGGCUCAUCGCCAUGGCCAACAUGAUGGUCGUCGUUCACCUCAUCGGUAGCUACCAGAUUUACGCGAUGCCAGUGUUUGACAUGAUGGAGACGUUUCUGGUGAGGAAGCUGGAGUUCGCACCAGGCAUUACGCUCCGUCUGAUCACCCGGACCAUCUAUGUUGCCUUCACGAUGUUCGUCGGCAUGACCUUCCCGUUCUUCGGUGGCCUCAUCGGGUUCUUCGGCGGGCUGGCCUUCGCGCCGACGACAUAUUUCCUGCCCUGCAUCAUGUGGCUCAUCAUCUGCAAGCCCAGGAGAUUCAGCCUCUCAUGGUUCACCAACUGGAUUUGCAUCGUCCUUGGUGUGAUUCUGAUGAUCAUCGCGCCCAUCGGAGGGCUCAGGCAGAUCAUCAUUUCUGCCAAGACAUACAAGUUCUACUCAUAG
Molecule: ribosomal RNA, 1344 nt
Filed under: Triticum aestivum (bread wheat)
Lineage: Eukaryota; Viridiplantae; Streptophyta; Magnoliopsida; Poales; Poaceae
Description: partial small subunit ribosomal RNA
Source: RNAcentral